UACGGGGGGGGCAAGCGUUGUUCGGAAUUACUGGGCGUAAAGGGCUCGUAGGCGGCUCGGAAAGUCGGUCGUGAAAUGCCGGGGCUCAACCCCGGGACUGCGUCCGAUACUUCCGAGCUGGAGGCAGGUAGGGGAGAUCGGAAUUCCUGGUGUAGCGGUGAAAUGCGCAGAUAUCAGGAGGAACACCGGUGGCGAAGGCGGAUCUCUGGGCCUUGCCUGACGCUGAGGCGCGAAAGCUAGGGGAGCGAACAGG
RNAcentral lists this ribosomal RNA (253 nucleotides) under uncultured bacterium. RNAcentral's name for it is "partial 16S ribosomal RNA". It matches the Rfam family "Bacterial small subunit ribosomal RNA", at positions 524 to 776 of the family's 1533-position model. The record is from RNAcentral.